GACGAACGCUGGCGGCGUGCCUAAUACAUGCAAGUAGAACGCACAGUUUAUACCGUAGCUUGCUACACCAUAAACUGUGAGUUGCGAACGGGUGAGUAACGCGUAGGUAACCUGCCUGGUAGCGGGGGAUAACUAUUGGAAACGAUAGCUAAUACCGCAUAAUAUUGAUUAUUGCAUGAUAAUUGAUUGAAAGAUGCUAUUGCAUCACUACCAGAUGGACCUGCGUUGUAUUAGCUAGUAGGUGAGGUAACGGCCCACCUAGGCGACGAUACAUAGCCGACCUGAGAGGGUGAUCCGCCACACUGGGACUGAGACACGGCCCAGACUCCUACGGGAGGCAGCAGGAGGGGAACUUCGGCAAUGGACGGAAGGCUUACCGAGCAACGCCGCGGGAGUGAAGGAGGUUUUCGGAUCGUAAAGCUCUGUUGUAAGAGAAGAACGGGUGUGAGAGUGGAAAGUUCACACUGUGACGGUAUCUUACCAGAAAGGGACGGCUAACUACGUG
Molecule: ribosomal RNA, 505 nt
Filed under: uncultured bacterium
Lineage: Bacteria
Description: partial 16S ribosomal RNA
Rfam family: Bacterial small subunit ribosomal RNA
Source: RNAcentral